UUCGCUCGGUCGGUUUGGGCCAUAGUUCAAGUAGCUUCAAAUUUAUAACCCCCACGUAGUGCACGUAACAUGUUCGGCAACUGGUUGAGGGGUAUUGAUAAACAAUUUUCUGCACAUAUUCUUGUGGGGGCGGCUGCCUUAUGCUGGGCAUUGUGGCUUACCAGGAAUGAUGUGGUUUUUAAUAAAAAAUGUGUUUCAUCUCCUAUGCAGGUUAUUCAUGUAUGUACGCGAUGGCUCCGUACUUGGUCUAUCCUGCAGAGGCCGGAGGACAGGGACCUAUUUAUGAUGGCGUCUACGCGGCUGGAGCGUACGGCCAGGGAGGUUUUCUACCCCCAUGGAUGGUGGUGUAAUUCCGGAUAG
Molecule: ribosomal RNA, 360 nt
Filed under: Triticum aestivum (bread wheat)
Lineage: Eukaryota; Viridiplantae; Streptophyta; Magnoliopsida; Poales; Poaceae
Description: partial small subunit ribosomal RNA
Source: RNAcentral